RNAcentral lists this ribosomal RNA (406 nucleotides) under uncultured bacterium. Its description in RNAcentral is "partial 16S ribosomal RNA". It matches the Rfam family "Bacterial small subunit ribosomal RNA", at positions 28 to 526 of the family's 1533-position model. The record is from RNAcentral.
GAUGAACGCUAGCUACAGGCUUAACACAUGCAAGUCGAGGGACCGGCGCACGGGUGAGUAACACGUAUCCAACCUGCCCUUUACUCGGGGAUAGCCUUUCGAAAGAACGAUUAAUACACGAUGUAAAGGAUGGGGAUGCUUUCCAUUAGGUGGUUGGUGAGGUAACGGCUCUCCAAGCCUUAGAUGGAUAGGGGUUCUGAGAGGAAUGUCCCCCACAUUUGAACUGAGACUCGGUCCAAACUCAUACGGGAGGUAGCAGUGUGGAAUAUUGGUCAAUGGGCGUUAUCCUGAACCAGCCAAUUAGCGUGAAGGUUGAAGGCUUAUGGGUCGUAAACUUCUUUUAUGUAAGAAUAUGUAUUAUAUGAAUAAGGAUCGGCUAACUCCGUGCCAGCAGCCGCGGUAAUAC